UGGUUGCACUUGCUCAUCUACAAC
Molecule: non-coding RNA, 24 nt
Filed under: Arabidopsis thaliana (thale cress)
Lineage: Eukaryota; Viridiplantae; Streptophyta; Magnoliopsida; Brassicales; Brassicaceae
Source: RNAcentral